UCGCCGGCGACCGGCGCACGGGUGAGUAACACGUAUGCAACCUGGCCGUGACAGAUGGAUAACCGGGAGAAAUCCCGCCUAAUACAACAUAAUGCCGGGAGGGGACAUCCCCUGCCGGCCAAAGGGGCGACCCCGGUCACGGAUGGGCAUGCGGCGCAUUAGGUAGUUGGUGGGGGCAACGGCCCACCAAGCCGACGAUGCGUAGGGGUUCUGAGAGGAAGGUCCCCCACCAUUGGAACUGAGACACGGUCCAAACUCCUACGGAAGGCAGCAG
This 274-nucleotide ribosomal RNA is filed under the name uncultured bacterium. RNAcentral's name for it is "partial 16S ribosomal RNA". It matches the Rfam family "Bacterial small subunit ribosomal RNA", at positions 85 to 354 of the family's 1533-position model. The record is from RNAcentral.